This is a long non-coding RNA of Triticum aestivum (bread wheat), 2680 nucleotides long. RefSeq lists it as uncharacterized. The record is from RefSeq and is a predicted model, not a curated record. The transcript is spliced from 2 exons. Lineage: Eukaryota; Viridiplantae; Streptophyta; Magnoliopsida; Poales; Poaceae.
GUGCGGGGUCAAAAACUAUUUGAGAGAAAAGCGCGCGGAGUCACGCGGACCACGCGGGACAAACAAAAUAGCAGAAGUUACGCGAAGCAGCCUCCACGUGCCAAGAGACCCCACACUCGGCCACUCCCCACGACUUCUUCCAUCUGUAGCCGACCCAGCCGCCGCACUCGUCGCCGUGAACACCGCCGCUUCCCCAUCCCCGCAUCCACACAGCCCCGCCAGGGCUGCUGCUCCAUUCCCCAUCACCACGCCACCGCACCCGCUUCCUCCAUCCACGCCGAUUGAGACAGAGAGAGGGGGGACAGGGUCGUGGAGCGCCGCCACACGCCUGGAUCUGGGUGCUACUGUGCGCAUCCUUGCCCGAUCUGGACGCCUCCGCGCGCGUCCGUGCCCGAUCUGGACGCCUCCGCGCGCGUACAUGCCGCAUCUGGCCGCCACGAUUGAGGAUUGGUGGAGGAGCACGGGAAACGGCUUGGUUGUGGAGCAGGGGAAGGGAGCACGGGGCGGCGCCGUUGUGGCUGGAGCAGGGCUUCACUUCGAGGGUGGCGGACACGGCUGCAUCGUGUAGGUGGUGGAGAAGGACGACCGUGCGCCCCGGCGUCCUUUGUGUGGUGGCAGUCAUGCGCAGUGCCACGUCGAGACUGGAUGAAGCACGGGCGACCGUUGUGUCUAGGAGAUAUGGAAAUUGCAGCACCGUGCAGCUACAGUCCUGCAGCAGGUUGACGGGCGAAUGGUCAUAGUGGGAAGACAACGGGCAUGUCGACUGCUGCGAGUAUUCCAUUCUCGUAGACAACUACAUUUGCAUGAUGAGCAAGAGGUGUGUUGUUUUCCUGGAGAAAAUUUUGAGAAAAUCAUCAAUUUGUUUAGCUUUAUUUAAAUCUGUUUGUUGAUCUGAGAUUUUGUACUGUACUCUUCUGGGAGCAAUAUGUAGCAAACGGUUCGAAAUUAGAAACUUCUUUACAUUUUAAGGAAUAAUCCAUCUUACCCCUUCGAAAAAGUAGAAGGAAACCCUUCGAAAAAGUAGAAGGAAUAAUCCAUUUUAAUAUGUUCCUUUAUAUAUGCGGAGAACUUCUUAGUACUAGUUCGUAUGUCAAGAUGUUAUUAGGAUACUAAAUAAUGGUGCUCUUUCUAAUAAUCAGGCAGACUGUACCAUUGUCUAUUUAUGUGUGCGCAUAUUUUUGGUAGUAUAUUGAACAAUUGUCCUUGAAAAGUUGAAAUAAUUGACAGAUCCACAGAAGUGAAAGCUGCGGCGAUGUCGUUCGUACUCCAUAUCACUUAGAGAGGACACUAGGAGUGGAAUGGCCAUCACUUAUUAUAGUAGUUUUCUGAAAAAAUAACCUCCUUUUAUGGAGUAACUUUAAUUUGGCCAUUGAGAAUUUGAGAAGUAAUUUUCAGGAUAAGAGCAUCUUUUAUCUUGCAUAAAGAUUGCAUCCUUAUCUUUCCUGUUCCUCUUGAACGUGAUUAUGCAACAAUUUAAAACUAUAUUAAAUGUUCUUGCAGAAUAUAAAGUAAAAGUAGUAUUGUCAUGUACUUUGGUUUAACCUUCAGUGUAAUAUUUGAUUUUCGUGUACUGUGUAUGAAAGCUGCAUUUGUACUGACUGAUUAUAAUUUGCUUUGCUUCUCAUCGCGACUGAUAAUUUUCUGAAAUACUCACUCUAUUUUAAUCAAGGUGUUGCAGGUGUUAUCACUGUAGGAGGUAAGGUUUGCAGCCGAAAUAUAUAACUUAUUGCGUCCAGACAAUCGAGAAAUAUAGUACAAUAAAUUUCUUUUUCUCUUUCAUUAACCUGCAGCAGAGGAUUUGGCUAAUAUUUUGCAUCUUAUCUCGAUGACUAGUUGAUCUAAUAUAGAAUAGCCUCUCUGUCUGUAACAUGUACUUGUUUGAGUUGCCAUUCGUAGGGUCUGCUAUCGGUGAUAUAAUAAAAUGACCUAUUUGCUUGUAGUUUCAUGCAAGGUUUUGUGAAGUUCUUUUGAUAAUUUUUCUUGCUAAAUGGAAAGGUUCAUUUUUUUUCAAUGACUGAACAAAAACUUGACCACCGGUACAUGGCCAGCUAGGGACUUUAGAUAGUGCUCACAUGCACUUCUAGUCCUUUACUGUUUGGACUCUACGAUAUUACUCAACUUUCCUAAGCAUGUCUAACAGACCCAGAUUUAUUGUUUAACUAACCUGGAAAGUGAAACACAAACUAAAAGGACUCUGAAUAAGCAUAGCUCAUAGCUCAACUCUAAUUUUUGUUGUGCCAAUCAUGAGAUAUCUGCAUAGAGUUCUCAGGCAGUCUUACUUCCCUUAGCUUUUGGUCAUUCCGAAGUUUCCUUACGACCUUCCUUCCAAUUUCUGAAAUUGUGUGCACUUAGUUUCUUUCUGCAUGAAUCCUCUACAGUACAUGUACAUGUCAAUUGACUUAAUUUCCUCUUCAGGUUGGCAACGUUGCUACAAGGCUGGACAAGUCACCUAGUGAAAUCAUUUGCUUCACCUGUUCCGAAGACCAUACAAGUUUUUUUUUUACUUUAUAUUGUAUUGACCUGAAAGGCUACAAAGUACAUCUGAUAAAUUAGGAUGAACUUUUCAUAUGUAGCUAGUAUGUGGCACAUAUCUUACUACAAAGUAAUAUACAAAUGUGAAGCACAUAUGUUGAAUGUUCUAUUUUUGGGUAUGAAUGGAUUGCAAUGCUGAGUUGAGAUA